This 2905-nucleotide ribosomal RNA is filed under the name Klebsiella michiganensis. Its description in RNAcentral is "bacterial LSU rRNA". It matches the Rfam family "Bacterial large subunit ribosomal RNA". Lineage: Bacteria; Pseudomonadati; Pseudomonadota; Gammaproteobacteria; Enterobacterales; Enterobacteriaceae. The record is from RNAcentral.
UUAAGCGACUAAGCGUACACGGUGGAUGCCCUGGCAGUCAGAGGCGAUGAAGGACGUGCUAAUCUGCGAAAAGCGUCGGUAAGGUGAUAUGAACCGUUACAGCCGGCGAUGUCCGAAUGGGGAAACCCAGUGCAAAUCGUUGCACUAUCGUUUGAUGAAUACAUAGUCAAACGAGGCGAACCGGGGGAACUGAAACAUCUAAGUACCCCGAGGAAAAGAAAUCAACCGAGAUUCCCCCAGUAGCGGCGAGCGAACGGGGAGCAGCCCGGAGUCUGAAUCAGCUUGUGUGUUAGUGGAAGCGUCUGGAAAGUCGCAGGGUACAGGGUGAUACUCCCGUACACUAAAACACACAGGCUGUGAACUCGAAGAGUAGGGCGGGACACGUGGUAUCCUGUCUGAAUAUGGGGGGACCAUCCUCCAAGGCUAAAUACUCCUGACUGACCGAUAGUGAACCAGUACCGUGAGGGAAAGGCGAAAAGAACCCCGGCGAGGGGAGUGAAAAAGAACCUGAAACCGUGUACGUACAAGCAGUAGGAGCCCACUUGUUGGGUGACUGCGUACCUUUUGUAUAAUGGGUCAGCGACUUAUAUUCUGUAGCAAGGUUAACCGUAUAGGGGAGCCGCAGGGAAACCGAGUCUUAACUGGGCGUUAAGUUGCAGGGUAUAGACCCGAAACCCGGUGAUCUAGCCAUGGGCAGGUUGAAGGUUGGGUAACACUAACUGGAGGACCGAACCGACUAAUGUUGAAAAAUUAGCGGAUGACUUGUGGCUGGGGGGGAAAGACCAAUCAAACCGGGAGAUAGCUGGUUCUCCCCGAAAGCUAUUUAGGUAGCGCCUCGUGAACUCAUCUUCGGGGGUAGAGCACUGUUUCGGCUAGGGGGUCAUCCCGACUUACCAACCCGAUGCAAACUACGAAUACCGAAGAAUGUUAUCACGGGAGACACACGGCGGGUGCUAACGUCCGUCGUGAAGAGGGAAACAACCCAGACCGCCAGCUAAGGUCCCAAAGUCAUGGUUAAGUGGGAAACGAUGUGGGAAGGCCCAGACAGCCAGGAUGUUGGCUUAGAAGCAGCCAUCAUUUAAAGAAAGCGUAAUAGCUCACUGGUCGAGUCGGCCUGCGCGGAAGAUGUAACGGGGCUAAACCAUGCACCGAAGCUGCGGCAGCGACACUAUGUGUUGUUGGGUAGGGGAGCGUUCUGUAAGCCGUUGAAGGUGGCCUGUGAGGGUUGCUGGAGGUAUCAGAAGUGCGAAUGCUGACAUAAGUAACGAUAAUGCGGGUGAAAAACCCGCACGCCGGAAGACCAAGGGUUCCUGUCCAACGUUAAUCGGGGCAGGGUGAGUCGACCCCUAAGGCGAGGCCGAAAGGCGUAGUCGAUGGGAAACAGGUUAAUAUUCCUGUACUUGGUGUUACUGCGAAGGGGGGACGGAGAAGGCUAUGUUGGCCGGGCGACGGUUGUCCCGGUUUAAGCAUGUAGGCGGAUGUUCCAGGUAAAUCCGGAACGUUAUUAACGCUGAGGUGUGAUGACGAGGCACUACGGUGCUGAAGUGACAAAUGCCCUGCUUCCAGGAAAAGCCUCUAAGCAUCAGGUAACAUCAAAUCGUACCCCAAACCGACACAGGUGGUCAGGUAGAGAAUACCAAGGCGCUUGAGAGAACUCGGGUGAAGGAACUAGGCAAAAUGGUGCCGUAACUUCGGGAGAAGGCACGCUGAUACGUAGGUGAAGUGGUUUACCCAUGGAGCUGAAAUCAGUCGAAGAUACCAGCUGGCUGCAACUGUUUAUUAAAAACACAGCACUGUGCAAACACGAAAGUGGACGUAUACGGUGUGACGCCUGCCCGGUGCCGGAAGGUUAAUUGAUGGGGUUAUCCGUAAGGAGAAGCUCUUGAUCGAAGCCCCGGUAAACGGCGGCCGUAACUAUAACGGUCCUAAGGUAGCGAAAUUCCUUGUCGGGUAAGUUCCGACCUGCACGAAUGGCGUAAUGAUGGCCAGGCUGUCUCCACCCGAGACUCAGUGAAAUUGAACUCGCUGUGAAGAUGCAGUGUACCCGCGGCAAGACGGAAAGACCCCGUGAACCUUUACUAUAGCUUGACACUGAACACUGGUCCUUGAUGUGUAGGAUAGGUGGGAGGCUUUGAAGCGUGGACGCCAGUCUGCAUGGAGCCAUCCUUGAAAUACCACCCUUUAAUGGCUGGGGUUCUAACGUGGGCCCCUAAUCCGGGUUGCGGACAGUGUCUGGUGGGUAGUUUGACUGGGGCGGUCUCCUCCUAAAGAGUAACGGAGGAGCACGAAGGUCAGCUAAUCCUGGUCGGACAUCAGGAGGUUAGUGCAAUGGCAUAAGCUGGCUUGACUGCGAGCGUGACGGCGCGAGCAGGUGCGAAAGCAGGUCAUAGUGAUCCGGUGGUUCUGAAUGGAAGGGCCAUCGCUCAACGGAUAAAAGGUACUCCGGGGAUAACAGGCUGAUACCGCCCAAGAGUUCAUAUCGACGGCGGUGUUUGGCACCUCGAUGUCGGCUCAUCACAUCCUGGGGCUGAAGUAGGUCCCAAGGGUAUGGCUGUUCGCCAUUUAAAGUGGUACGCGAGCUGGGUUUAGAACGUCGUGAGACAGUUCGGUCCCUAUCUGCCGUGGGCGCUGGAGAAUUGAGGGGGGCUGCUCCUAGUACGAGAGGACCGGAGUGGACGCAUCACUGGUGUUCGGGUUGUCAUGCCAAUGGCAUUGCCCGGUAGCUAAAUGCGGAAGAGAUAAGUGCUGAAAGCAUCUAAGUACGAAACUUGCCCCGAGAUGAGUUCUCCCUGACCCCUUAAGAGUCCUGAAGGAACGUUGAAGACGACGACGUUGAUAGGCCGGGUGUGUAAGCGCAGCGAUGCGUUGAGCUAACCGGUACUAAUGAACCGUGAGGCUUAACCUU